Molecule: ribosomal RNA, 253 nt
Filed under: uncultured bacterium
Lineage: Bacteria
Description: partial 16S ribosomal RNA
Rfam family: Bacterial small subunit ribosomal RNA
Source: RNAcentral
UACGAAGGGGGCUCGCGUUGUUCGGAAUUACUGGGCGUAAAGCGCACGUAGGCGGUCUAUUAAGUCAGGGGUGAAAUCCCGGGGCUCAACCCCGGAACUGCCUUUGAUACUGGUAGUCUCGAGUCCGGAAGAGGUGAGUGGAAUUCCGAGUGUAGAGGUGAAAUUCGUAGAUAUUCGGAGGAACACCAGUGGCGAAGGCGGCUCACUGGUCCGGUACUGACGCGGAGGUGCGAAAGCGUGGGGAGCAAACAGG